GAUGAACGCUGGCGGCGUGCCUAAUACAUGCAAGUCGAGCGAACAGACGAGGAGCUUGCUCCUCUGACGUUAGCGGCGGACGGGUGAGUAACACGUGGAUAACCUACCUAUAAGACUGGGAUAACUUCGGGAAACCGGAGCUAAUACCGGAUAAUAUAUUGAACCGCAUGGUUCAAUAGUGAAAGACGGUUUUGCUGUCACUUAUAGAUGGAUCCGCGCCGCAUUAGCUAGUUGGUAAGGUAACGGCUUACCAAGGCAACGAUGCGUAGCCGACCUGAGAGGGUGAUCGGCCACACUGGGACUGAGACACGGUCCAGACUCCUACGGGAGGCAGCAGUAGGGAAUCUUCCGCAAUGGGCGAAAGCCUGACGGAGCAACGCCGCGUGAGUGAUGAAGGUAUUCGGAUCGUAAAACUCUGUUAUUAGGGAAGAACAAAUGUGUAAGUAACUAUGCACGUCUUGACGGUACCUAAUCAGAAAGCCACGGCUAACUACGUG
RNAcentral lists this ribosomal RNA (497 nucleotides) under uncultured bacterium. RNAcentral describes it as "partial 16S ribosomal RNA". It matches the Rfam family "Bacterial small subunit ribosomal RNA", at positions 28 to 507 of the family's 1533-position model. The record is from RNAcentral.